RNAcentral lists this ribosomal RNA (253 nucleotides) under uncultured prokaryote. Its description in RNAcentral is "partial 16S ribosomal RNA". It matches the Rfam family "Bacterial small subunit ribosomal RNA", at positions 524 to 776 of the family's 1533-position model. The record is from RNAcentral.
UACGAAGGGGGCGAGCGUUGUUCGGAUUUACUGGGCGUAAAGGGCGCGUAGGCGGCGGAUCAAGUCAGGCGUGAAAGCCCCGGGCUCAACCUGGGAACUGCGCUUGGGACUGGUUUGCUUGAGUUCGGGAGAGGAGCGUGGAAUUCCCAGUGUAGAGGUGAAAUUGGUAGAUAUUGGGAAGAACACCGGUGGCGAAGGCGGCUAUCUGGACCGACAUUGACGCUGAGGCGCGAAAGCGUGGGGAGCAAACAGG